Molecule: ribosomal RNA, 740 nt
Filed under: uncultured Salinivibrio sp.
Lineage: Bacteria; Pseudomonadati; Pseudomonadota; Gammaproteobacteria; Vibrionales; Vibrionaceae
Description: bacterial SSU rRNA
Rfam family: Bacterial small subunit ribosomal RNA
Source: RNAcentral
AGCCCGGGGCUCAACCUCGGAACCGCAUCUGAAACUGGCAGGCUAGAGUCUUGUAGAGGGGGGUAGAAUUUCAGGUGUAGCGGUGAAAUGCGUAGAGAUCUGAAGGAAUACCAGUGGCGAAGGCGGCCCCCUGGACAAAGACUGACGCUCAGAUGCGAAAGCGUGGGUAGCAAACAGGAUUAGAUACCCUGGUAGUCCACGCCGUAAACGCUGUCUACUUGGAGGUUGAGGUUUAAGACUUUGGCUUUCGGCGCUAACGCAUUAAGUAGACCGCCUGGGGAGUACGGCCGCAAGGUUAAAACUCAAAUGAAUUGACGGGGGCCCGCACAAGCGGUGGAGCAUGUGGUUUAAUUCGAUGCAACGCGAAGAACCUUACCUACUCUUGACAUCCAGAGAACUUUCCAGAGAUGGAUUGGUGCCUUCGGGAACUCUGAGACAGGUGCUGCAUGGCUGUCGUCAGCUCGUGUUGUGAAAUGUUGGGUUAAGUCCCGCAACGAGCGCAACCCUUAUCCUUGUUUGCCAGCACGUAAAGGUGGGAACUCCAGGGAGACUGCCGGUGAUAAACCGGAGGAAGGUGGGGACGACGUCGAGUCAUCAUGGCCCUUACGAGUAGGGCUACACACGUGCUACAAUGGCAGAUACAGAGGGCAGCGAAGCUGCGAAGUGGAGCGAAUCCCUUAAAGUCUGUCGUAGUCCGGAUUGGAGUCUGCAACUCGACUCCAUGAAGUCGGAAUCGCUAG